AGAUUCAAGGGUUUACUCAGAACAUCAUGAAUAGAAAAGGAUUGAUAGCUAAAACAUUCAAAGUCUUACAAAGAACCCAAAGCAAAAGGGGUUUUAGCCAAGCAUGGCUAUGAAAUCCAUACAAGAAGAUAAAGAUGAAACCUGAAACAUAGGGCUUAGGGAAAGCUCCUCAAGCUCUAGAACUCAAACCCUCUCUUCUAACUUAUGAAAAUAUGAUAAAAUGACGUUCCAAAAGAAAUGACAAAAAGCCUAUUUAUAGGCAAACAGGUUGAGUCUGGGCGCUCAGGCGCCAAUUAAGCACGCCUGAGCGCCAAUUCCAAGCCAAAACAAGCUCUCUGGAGGUAAUUGGCGCUCAGGCGCUCAAUCAAGAGCGCUCAGGCGCCAAUUCCUUUCUAGCAUCAUGUAAACAUCGAUCCAAUUGGCGCUCAGGCGC
This 433-nucleotide long non-coding RNA is filed under the name Lotus japonicus. RNAcentral describes it as "long non-coding RNA (LJAP_LNC002148)". Lineage: Eukaryota; Viridiplantae; Streptophyta; Magnoliopsida; Fabales; Fabaceae. The record is from RNAcentral.